UUUGAUCCUGGCUCAGAUUGAACGCUGGCGGCAGGCUUAACACAUGCAAGUCGAGCGGUAACAUUUCUAGCUUGCUAGAAGAUGACGAGCGGCGGACGGGUGAGUAAUGCUUGGGAAUAUGCCUUAGGGUGGGGGACAACAGUUGGAAACGACUGCUAAUACCGCAUAACGUCUACGGACCAAAGGGGGCUUCGGCUCUCGCCCUUAGAUUAGCCCAAGUGGGAUUAGCUAGUUGGUGAGGUAAUGGCUCACCAAGGCGACGAUCCCUAGCUGGUUUGAGAGGAUGAUCAGCCACACUGGAACUGAGACACGGUCCAGACUCCUACGGGAGGCAGCAGUGGGGAAUAUUGCACAAUGGGCGCAAGCCUGAUGCAGCCAUGCCGCGUGUGUGAAGAAGGCCUUAGGGUUGUAAAGCACUUUCAGUAAGGAGGAAAGGUUAGUAGUUAAUACC
Molecule: ribosomal RNA, 451 nt
Filed under: HMWdDNA-degrading marine bacterium 47
Lineage: Bacteria
Description: bacterial SSU rRNA
Rfam family: Bacterial small subunit ribosomal RNA
Source: RNAcentral